UUAUGAGCAUUUGUGCAAAUAUAUAUUUAGGUUCAUAUUAAUUAUUUGUUAAAAGAAUUUUUGAUACUUAUAUAAGAUUAAAGAAUCUAAAUAAUAAUAUUUCAACUAAUUUUUUUAAGUGAGAUCCUACGUCAUUAUAAAUGAUAUCAGAAUCUAGCUACCUACGGCUCAUGUAAGCUAGGGGAUACUACAACAUUCAUUGUGGC
This 206-nucleotide long non-coding RNA is filed under the name Elaeis guineensis (African oil palm). RNAcentral's name for it is "long non-coding RNA (EGUI_LNC005142)". The record is from RNAcentral. Lineage: Eukaryota; Viridiplantae; Streptophyta; Magnoliopsida; Arecales; Arecaceae.